RNAcentral lists this long non-coding RNA (661 nucleotides) under Panax ginseng (ginseng). RNAcentral describes it as "long non-coding RNA (PGIN_LNC017101)". Lineage: Eukaryota; Viridiplantae; Streptophyta; Magnoliopsida; Apiales; Araliaceae. The record is from RNAcentral.
AUUAAUUUUCCAAGGAAAUAGGAUAAUUAUAUUAUUUAAAUAAUAUAUGAUAUGAUUAUAUAAUUUUUAUAAUACUUAUUUUAUUAUAUGAAAUUAUUUCAGAAUAGUUAAGUUAAUUAUUUUAACUUAAUUAAUAAGGUUAAUUAUGGCAGAUAAAUCAGAUAUGGAAUCCAAACCCUAAUUUUGGGUUUUGAUCAAGGAAUGAGAAUAAUAAUAUUAUAUUAUUAUUUGUCAGUGUUACAGAUAUGUAUGAUUAUAUGUGUAUUGUUAAUGUGUGGAACAGUUUUAUUAUAUUACGAUCAAACCCUAAUAAUAUUUUGAUAAACCCUAAUUUUGAUUCUGAGAUAAGGAAUAAUGAUAAUAAUAUUAUUAUAUUAUAAUAUUUUGAUUUUUCAGUGCCAUAUAUAUAUACACACUGUAUGUGGACUGACAAUGGUUGGUUAGUUAUGAUGUAUAAUGGUGCAGUAUUUGAAAACCCUAGUUUACUGUGGGAAAACCCUAAAUUUAAAACUCAAUUGUGAGUUUAAGGCUAAUAUAUAACUGUGAUAUAUGAUAUAUGUUGUGUGUUACUUCAUGGUAUGCUAAUUAGGAAACCCUAAUUAUUAAAUUUAAAACCCUAGUUUAUAUUUAUAUUUUCUAGAUAUUAGAAAACCCUAANNNN